Molecule: long non-coding RNA, 633 nt
Organism: Mangifera indica (mango)
Lineage: Eukaryota; Viridiplantae; Streptophyta; Magnoliopsida; Sapindales; Anacardiaceae
Exons: 2
Source: RefSeq, a predicted model, not a curated record
AAACCUCAUAUCUUCGUCACUGUUGGUUGUCUUUGUGGCUUCAAUAGCAGUCUCAAUCUUCAUUCUAACGUCAUUCAACUGUUUCGUAGUGAAACGUUGUCUCAAUCGUCAUUUAACUCGCUGAUAGUGUAUUUCUGCUUUUGCAAUUACAAAUUAUCAGAUGACACUAUAAGCCUUUCCCGCUUUCGGAUAUUUUUGUUUGGCAUAGCUUCAAGGUCUAGCUAGUGCAUUGAUAAAGCUGUGGAACCUCUCGGAGACACCUGUCAUUGAGCAAAGAAAAUUUGACCAUGUCACUAGUUUGGCUUCUUCCUCAAUUGACGAAGUUGUGAGACAAGGAUGCCUUGCUCUAGAUGUUGUUGAGCAAAUAAUCUGAAAGCCAGGGAGAUGAAAGAGUUGGUAUUCAAGAGGCAAAAUGAGCUUGAAGAAAUCUACUGAGGGGUUCAUAUGGAUGUAGAAAGUGAUCAGCAUGACAGAUUAUUCUCAUCAGCUUGAUAGGUUCAGGUCUUAAUCCUAUUUUUGAGUUGAUUAAAUCUAACCUGAAUUAAUUGAAGUAUCUAGUUUUUUGUUAUGCACUUAUUAUAGAACUUUCACUCUUUUCUGUUUUGGAUGAAAUCAAAUUGCAUUUGACUGCUA